Molecule: ribosomal RNA, 440 nt
Filed under: uncultured Porphyrobacter sp.
Lineage: Bacteria; Pseudomonadati; Pseudomonadota; Alphaproteobacteria; Sphingomonadales; Erythrobacteraceae
Description: bacterial SSU rRNA
Rfam family: Bacterial small subunit ribosomal RNA
Source: RNAcentral
CCUACGGGAGGCUGCAGUGGGGAAUAUUGGACAAUGGGCGAAAGCCUGAUCCAGCAAUGCCGCGUGAGUGAUGAAGGCCUUAGGGUUGUAAAGCUCUUUUACCAGGGAUGAUAAUGACAGUACCUGGAGAAUAAGCUCCGGCUAACUCCGUGCCAGCAGCCGCGGUAAUACGGAGGGAGCUAGCGUUGUUCGGAAUUACUGGGCGUAAAGCGCACGUAGGCGGCUUUUUAAGUCAGAGGUGAAAUCCCGGGGCUCAACCCCGGAACUGCCUUUGAAACUGGGAAGCUAGAAUCUUGGAGAGGCGAGUGGAAUUCCGAGUGUAGAGGUGAAAUUCGUAGAUAUUCGGAAGAACACCAGUGGCGAAGGCGACUCGCUGGACAAGUAUUGACGCUGAGGUGCGAAAGCGUGGGGAGCAAACAGGAUUAGAUACCCCAGUAGUC